RNAcentral lists this unclassified non-coding RNA (331 nucleotides) under root metagenome. Its description in RNAcentral is "partial contains small subunit ribosomal RNA, internal transcribed spacer 1, and 5.8S ribosomal RNA". The record is from RNAcentral.
UAGCUGUAGGUGAACCUGCAGCUGGAUCACUAACGAUUCAAUGUUCCUAUGCCUUUGUAAUAAGCAAGGUGCGAGAUACUUGCUUAGCGAGUUCCGUCUGACCACGCUCCAUGCGAGAGGAGAAGGUUGGACCGCAAAUACAAAACGGCCAUGCAGGUUUCUGUCGCACACGUUGAGCAGUUGUGACUGUCCGUGACUGCUAUGAUACAGUGCGAGUGCGCUUCGAGCGAAGAAUUAAAGAGCACACGCUAGGUGCCGCCUGCCGAUUACCCUAUUUUUUAUUAUUUUCAUUUAAAGAAUAUCAGUCUUAUCGGUGGAUCACUCGGUUCGU